GAAAUGCGAUAAGUAAUGUGAAUUGCAGAAUUCAGUGAAUCAACGAAUCUUUGAACGCACAUUGCGCCCGCCAGUAUUCUGGCGGGCAUGCCUGUUCGAGCGUCAUUACAACCCUCAGGCCCCCGGGCCUGGCGUUGGGGAUCGGCGGAAGCCCCCUGCGGGCACAACGCCGUCCCCCAAAUACAGUGGCGGUCCCGCCGCAGCUUCCAUUGCGUAGUAGCUAACACCUCGCAACUGGAGAGCGGCGCGGCCACGCCGUAAAACACCCAACUUCUGAAUGUUGACCUCGAAUCAGGUAGGAAUACCCGCUGAACUUAAGC
Molecule: unclassified non-coding RNA, 320 nt
Filed under: plant metagenome
Description: partial contains 5.8S ribosomal RNA, internal transcribed spacer 2, and large subunit ribosomal RNA
Rfam family: 5.8S ribosomal RNA (bases 1-105)
Source: RNAcentral